RNAcentral lists this ribosomal RNA (780 nucleotides) under uncultured bacterium. RNAcentral describes it as "bacterial SSU rRNA". It matches the Rfam family "Bacterial small subunit ribosomal RNA", at positions 67 to 894 of the family's 1533-position model. The record is from RNAcentral.
CGGACCCUUCGGGGUUAGUGGCGGACGGGUGAGUAACACGUGGGAACGUGCCUUUAGGUUCGGAAUAGCUCCUGGAAACGGGUGGUAAUGCCGAAUGUGCCCUUCGGGGGAAAGAUUUAUCGCCUUUAGAGCGGCCCGCGUCUGAUUAGCUAGUUGGUGAGGUAAUGGCUCACCAAGGCGACGAUCAGUAGCUGGUCUGAGAGGAUGACCAGCCACAUUGGGACUGAGACACGGCCCAAACUCCUACGGGAGGCAGCAGUGGGGAAUCUUGCGCAAUGGGCGAAAGCCUGACGCAGCCAUGCCGCGUGAAUGAUGAAGGUCUUAGGAUUGUAAAAUUCUUUCACCGGGGACGAUAAUGACGGUACCCGGAGAAGAAGCCCCGGCUAACUUCGUGCCAGCAGCCGCGGUAAUACGAAGGGGGCUAGCGUUGCUCGGAAUUACUGGGCGUAAAGGGCGCGUAGGCGGACAUUUAAGUCAGGGGUGAAAUCCCAGAGCUCAACUCUGGAACUGCCUUUGAUACUGGGUGUCUUGAGUGUGAGAGAGGUAUGUGGAACUCCGAGUGUAGAGGUGAAAUUCGUAGAUAUUCGGAAGAACACCAGUGGCGAAGGCGACAUACUGGCUCAUUACUGACGCUGAGGCGCGAAAGCGUGGGGAGCAAACAGGAUUAGAUACCCUGGUAGUCCACGCCGUAAACGAUGAUUGCUAGUUGUCGGGCUGCAUGCAGUUCGGUGACGCAGCUAAUGCAUUAAGCAAUCCGCCUGGGGAGUACGGUCGCAAGAU